AAUGAACGCUGGCGGCGUGCCUAACACAUGCAAGUCGAGCGAGAAAGUCUCUUCGGAGAUAAGUACAGCGGCGGACGGGUGAGUAACGCGUGAGAAUUUACCCUUUAGUGAGGAAUACCUCUGAGAAAUCAGGGUUAAUACUGCAUACGUCCCUACGGGAGAAAGGUGGCCUCUUUGCUGCCGCUAAAGGAUAAGCUUGCGUACUAUUAGCUAGUUGGUGAGGUAAAGGCUCACCAAGGCGAUGAUGGUUAGCCGGCCUGAGAGGGUGUACGGCCACACUGGAACUUAGACACGGUCCAGACUCCUACGGGAGGCAGCAGUGAGGAAU
This 328-nucleotide ribosomal RNA is filed under the name uncultured bacterium. RNAcentral describes it as "bacterial SSU rRNA". It matches the Rfam family "Bacterial small subunit ribosomal RNA", at positions 29 to 362 of the family's 1533-position model. The record is from RNAcentral.